This 262-nucleotide ribosomal RNA is filed under the name uncultured prokaryote. Its description in RNAcentral is "partial 16S ribosomal RNA". It matches the Rfam family "Bacterial small subunit ribosomal RNA", at positions 524 to 784 of the family's 1533-position model. The record is from RNAcentral.
UACGGAGGAUGCGAGCGUUAUCCGGAUUUAUUGGGUUUAAAGGGUGCGUAGGCGGCUUAGUAAGUCAGCGGUGUAAAUUUUGCAGCUUAACUGUAACAGUGCCGUUGAUACUGCCAGGCUAGGAUUUGGUUGCUGUGGGUGGAAUGUGUGGUGUAGCGGUGAAAUGCUUAGAUAUUACAUGGAAUACCAAUUGCGAAGGCAGAUCACUAACAGUAUAUUGACGCUGAGGGACGAAAGCGUGGGUAGCGAACAGGAUUAGAUA